Malania oleifera is the source of this 118-nucleotide small nuclear RNA. RefSeq annotates it as U4 spliceosomal RNA. The record is from RefSeq and is a predicted model, not a curated record. The transcript has a single exon. Lineage: Eukaryota; Viridiplantae; Streptophyta; Magnoliopsida; Santalales; Ximeniaceae.
AUCUUCGCGCUUGGGGCAAUGACACAGCUAGUUAGGUAAUAACUGAGGCGCGUUAAUUGUUGGUUGAAAACUAUUUCCAAACCCCCUCUCAAUUGCGGGUUGAAAACUAUUUACAUAC